CCUGUUGUAAGUAAGCUCCA
This 20-nucleotide microRNA is filed under the name Ciona intestinalis (vase tunicate). Its description in RNAcentral is "cin-miR-4001f-3p". Lineage: Eukaryota; Metazoa; Chordata; Ascidiacea; Phlebobranchia; Cionidae. The record is from miRBase by way of RNAcentral.